CCGUCUCGACCUGCUGCGGGCAGAUGAAGUGGAUGUGGCUGUCGAUCCCUCCCGCCGUGCAGAUCAUGCCUUCGCCGGCGAUGACCUCGGUUCCCGGCCCGAUCACCAGCCGGGGGUCGACGUCGUCCUGCGUCAGCGGGUUGCCGGCCAUGCCCACGGCCACGAUCCGCCCGUUGCGGAUGCCGAUGUCCCCCUUGACGAUCCCCCAGUGGUCGAUGACCACCGCGUUGGUGAUCACGAGGUCGCAAUGCUCGGGGCUCAUCGGCUCGUCGAACGG
RNAcentral lists this small RNA (277 nucleotides) under Paludisphaera borealis. RNAcentral's name for it is "5' ureB small RNA". It matches the Rfam family "5' ureB small RNA". Lineage: Bacteria; Pseudomonadati; Planctomycetota; Planctomycetia; Isosphaerales; Isosphaeraceae. The record is from Rfam by way of RNAcentral.